AAACCCUUUGUGAACUUAUACCUUACUGUUGCCUCGGCGCAGGCCGGCCCCUCCCGCGGGGCCCCUCCGGAAGGAGGAGCAGCCCGCCGGCGGCCAACUAAACUCUUGUUUCUUAGUGAAUCUCUGAGUAAAAAACAUAAAUGAAUCAAAACUUUCAACAACGGAUCUCUUGGUUCUGGCAUCGAUGAAGAACGCAGCGAAAUGCGAUAAGUAAUGUGAAUUGCAGAAUUCAGUGAAUCAUCGAAUCUUUGAACGCACAUUGCGCCCUCUGGUAUUCCGGAGGGCAUGCCUGUUCGAGCGUCAUUUCAACCCUCAAGCACUGCUUGGUGUUGGGGCACCGCCUGUGAAAGGGCGGGCCCUGAAAACUAGUGGCGAGCUCGCCAGGACCCCGAGCGUAGUAGUUUAUAUCUCGUUCUGGAAGGCCCUGGCGGUGCACUGCCGUUAAACCCCCAACUUCUGAAAUUUUGACCUCGGAUCAGGUAGGAAUACCCGCUGAACUUAAGCAUAUCAAUAAGCGGAGGAA
RNAcentral lists this ribosomal RNA (523 nucleotides) under fungal sp. SNB-LAP1-7-12. Its description in RNAcentral is "eukaryotic LSU rRNA". The stretch from base 150 to 303 matches the Rfam family "5.8S ribosomal RNA". The record is from RNAcentral. Lineage: Eukaryota; Fungi.